GUGCUUUUCUGUUUAGCCCCUUACGCUUUUUACAAAUUGAAUGUGAAGAAGACAAAAUUCUGUUUUGGGGGUGUGUUUGUGGUUGGUAGUUAUGCUGGGUAUGUACAUGUGCUUUUGCCCUGUUGACUUUUUUGGGUCUUUCUUGUUCUCUUUGGAUUGGUGUUGUCUCCCCGUCGCUGGUGGCUUGCUCGUGCCGGUGGCCGUUGCUGCUUGUCAUCUUCUGUUCCUGAAUCGGUCGAGUGUGUUCGCUGACCGGAGGAGGAGCCGACGAUGAUGGGUGGGAUUUGCGCGCUGGUGGUCGGGGAUGCCGAGGAGGAUGAGACGGAGCUCUGCGCGAUCUGCGUCCACGUCAUGGUGCCCGGACGGCCGGACGGCCAGUGCGCGUCCUCCCCGGAUGUACCCGCGCCUUCCACCACGACUACGUCCACCGGUGGCGAACCAUCUCGCCGCGCUGCCUCGUCUGCAAUGCGUGGGUGACGCAGCGGUCGCAGGGACCUAACCGUCGCCGUCGCCCGCCCAGCCUGAUCUGAGUUCUUGGCAUGUCGGCGUUCCUACUUUCCUUAUAAUGGCUCAGCUCUUGGCUCUUGGUGAGAGCUCGUCGUGCCGCAAUCCUUCGUGGUAGGAGUUCUUCCUCACGGCCAGCAUGUGAAUCAACACGAUCAACAGCUACCUCGUUCAAUUCUGGCCCUUCGUACCAGUCUUUGGUCAUUCGGAGGAAAAGGAAAUUGGCAAUCUUGCGUCGCCGGUUGUUUGCUUCACCAGGUUGGUUCUUUAGCCGUGUUUAGUUGCAAAAUUUUUCUUCAAACUUCCAACUUUUCCAUCACAUCAAAACUUUCCUACACACAAACUUCCAACUUUUCCGUCACAUCGUUUCAAUUUCAAACAAACUUCUAAUUUUGGCGUGAACUAAACACACCCUAAGGGUCCAGGCAAUGAAUUGCUUAAGACCCCUGUACUGUAGCUCUAUUUAUCCGUACACAGUACUGCACAUGAAUAGAUGAUUGCCUCUGUUUUUUUUUUGGUCGAAUGCUCAGGAGGCCAGUAAUACAAUAUGCUUUUAGAUUUUUUUCUGGAAAAUAUUCUCAUUGUUUGCGAUAAGUCUUAUAAGCUGACAAAUAAAUGAAGCAAUCAAAAUUGAUAUUAGGGUAAGUUCUUAUACUUCUAUAAAGAUUAAGGCCAGAAAAUAGAGAGGGAUCUUAGAUUUUGUCACAGAUGAUAUGAUACUUCACCCUGUGUGACAUUUUCAACUGAGGAGUUGUAAAGAAUAUCUGCAACAAUAAUUUGGAAGUGAAUCAUGACAAGUAUUCUUCAUAUAAUUUACUAGCAUGAUUCUAUUUCUUUUUGCAAGAGAUCAAUGCUGCUAUUAAAUUCAGUCAAGAGUGUAUCAUUACCUUUCUAACAUUAAUAUUGCCCUUGGAUCAUAAGGCCACACCAUGAAUGCCUGCACUUUUGGUCUUUGAAAAUAUAUUUGUAUUGUUUUGAGGGUGAAGCUAGCUAUGGAGCAACAUGCACAGAUUAGAAAAAAUGUAAAAGUGCUUGGGAAGACAUGUUGAAUACUGAGCAUGCAGAUGCAGGUAAUCGAAAGAAAAGUUGAAAUGGAUAUAUUAUGCUUCCUAAGGUAUUAAGAAAACAUCUGUUUUGUUCUAACCCAUGUAUGCCCUAUGUCAGUGACAUUCUGAAAGAGCAUUUGGCUAUAUACGAUUCAAAAAAAAAAAGAUGCUACCGAAUUUUUUUGGUGCAAACAUGCUUACAUGCUUGAAGAGCGAACCAUUUGCAUCUUGCAGCUGCGCUGAAGUGGUUUGAACAUGUUUGCAGACAAAAUUGUGGUUUGUAAUGAGCUCUUCCCACUUGUAAUCCUUUAUGGUGGAGAAGAAUGCCAAUCAGAGCAUCCACCUAAAUGAACACCCAUUUGAAAGUGUUUGUCCUUUUUGUUAAUAAAAAUUAUAGCCCAAUUCACUUUUUUAUCGUUCAUCUUUGUUGGUGUAUUGUCUUCUAUUAAGCCACUUAAUGACUUAAUGGAUUCGCAAGGACGACUUAUACUUCAUUGUACUCUGUUUAUUAAACAAAUGUAGACCAUAUUUAUCAAAAUAUGUAUCUACUAUCUAAUCAUUUUAUGUAGAACUAUUUGCCAUCGCGCGCGGCGUGGCGCCGCGCUCUCCUUUCUAGUAAAAGAUCAAGGACCAUUUCUUUCUUUCCUCCAACGACUUCAACAAUGGAAUAUGUUCUGGCUUCUACACCACAUAAGAGCAGGAGGAAUUACCAUAUGCCAGCCUGACAGAAAGGGCCUUUAUGACCAGGACAUCUAAAGAAAUCAAUCCUGCAAUGGUUCAGCUGCUGCAUACAACUGAUUCACCUGAUGAAGAGAUAGAUAUCAGGUAUCCUUUGCUGCAAAACAAACGAUAUACUACUAGUAUAAGGCCGAGUUUAGUCCCUUUGAAUUAAGGAUUUAUAUUAGAAUUUCAUAGGAUUCAAAUCCUAUAGGAAUUUUUUUCUAUUUGGCCAUUUGAUUUAAAGGAUUGAAGUUUUCAAAUCCUAUGAAAUUCUUAUGGAAUGACACAUUGCAUAUGGG
Non-coding RNA from Oryza sativa Japonica Group (Japanese rice), 2569 nucleotides. NCBI's taxonomy places the organism in Eukaryota, Viridiplantae, Streptophyta, Magnoliopsida, Poales, Poaceae. The record is from RefSeq and is a predicted model, not a curated record.